This is a long non-coding RNA of Poecilia latipinna (sailfin molly), 1083 nucleotides long. RefSeq lists it as uncharacterized. Lineage: Eukaryota; Metazoa; Chordata; Actinopteri; Cyprinodontiformes; Poeciliidae. The record is from RefSeq and is a predicted model, not a curated record. The transcript has 2 exons.
CACCUGGAUAUGAAGUUUUCUUCAUGGCUGCAGAUAAUCUCUUCUCUUCUGCUCGCAGUGUUUUAAUAAAAAGAGGAAAAUCUCAAAAGUGUCGUUUGCAUCCGUAACUUUUUCCAGACUGCGUCUUCCUGUGCCGCCUUCUCUGUCGUCUCUGGACCGACCGGUCUCUAAAGCUCGCUCCUAUGCUUUUUAGAGCUCCCUAAACUUUGCCCCAGUGUUUUAUUCCCACCUCUAUCUGCUUCAGGAGACGCUGUCUGGAGAAAGUUUGAAAGUAAGCAAAGACAUUGCUUUAUUGAUUUAGAAUUAAAAAUACAGACAAUUGUAUUACACAUAUUCCACUUAACAGAAAAAUAAACCUUGAUUUAAUCAGUACCAAGAUUUUAUACUUAGUUUUAGUCUUUAUUUUAACUACCAAAAUACUACAAAGCAUAUUUGUAGCACAUUUGUUGCUAUUACACGGUUAGUAUUAAAAUGUGUGCCAACACCUUCUUGAAAUGCAUUUAGAGUGAAAUAUUUUAUCGGAAGAAUUUGGUUUGGAAAAGUUGAUAGUGCUUGACAUGCUAUUCCUAAAUAUAAACUGUUUACUGCAAAUACUUCUUGAUCAUGAAGCCUUUCUGUAGCCGAGAGCUUCAAAAUGACACCUGAGCGUUGGCAUUUAACUGAAUCAAAAUCUGUCUAUAUAAUAAAAAAAAAAAUAAUAAUUUCACAAGUGAAAGGUAGAGGUGAAAGUUAGUUCUGCUAAUAUAAACCGUAUCCUGAAAUGUAUCACACUGGUUUCCUGAUGCUUCUGGUCCUAAAAUCACUUAAAAACAGUGAACUGCAAUCUGCAUUUAGAAAUAUGCAAGACGUCUAUGUGUUUCAAUCAUGUUAGAUGCGUCACGAUUACUAAAAACACUUCAGGAAAUCUGGGAACAGAACAAAAGAUUUUAUAGAUGGAAUUGUUUAAAACUCCUCAUAUUUCCAAUUUGCCAGAUUCAUUUUAUUUGCUCUCUAAGUGUCAGAUUGUGUUGUUGUUUUUUAUUCCAUUCCAGCUCCACUUUGGUCUUUCUAUAUAAAACAUUAGUCAAACUUGGUACUAAAUUA